GCUCAGGAUGAACGCUGGCGGCGUGCCUAAUACAUGCAAGUCGAACGGAGGCGUUAGCAAUAGCGCCUUAGUGGCGAACGGGUGAGUAACGCGUUGGUGACCUGCCCCAAAGUGUGGGAUAACAGUCCGAAAGGAUUGCUAAUACCGCAUGUGGUUUUCUGGAUUAGAUGCCAGAUUUCUAAAGGAGAAAUCCGCUCUGGGAGGGGCCUGCGUCCCAUCAGCUAGUUGGUAGGGUAAUGGCCUACCAAGGCUACGACGGGUAAGGGGCCUGAGAGGGUGGCCCCUCACAAUGGAACUGAAACACGGUCCAUACACCUACGGGUGGCAGCAGUAGGGAAUAUUGGGCAAUGGGCGAAAGCCUGACCCAGCAACGCCGCGUGUGCGAUGAAGGUCUUCGGAUCGUAAAGCACUUUUCUGGGAGAUGAGAAAGGACAGUAUCCCAGGAAUAAGCCUCGGCUAACUACGUGCCAGCAGCCGCGGUAAAACGUAGGAGGCAAGCGUUAUCCGGAUUUACUGGGCGUAAAGCGCGUGCAGGCGGUUCGGCAAGUUGGAUGUGAAAGCUCCUGGCUUAACUAGGAGAGGUCGUUCAAUACUACCGAACUAGAGGGCAUCAGAGGAAGGUGGAAUUCCCGGUGUAGUGGUGAAAUGCGUAGAUAUCGGGAGGAACACCAGUGGCGAAGGCGGCCUUCUGGGAUGUUCCUGACGCUCAGACGCGAAGGCUAGGGUAGCAAACGGGAUUAGAGACCCCGGUAGUCCUAGCAGUAAACGAUGUAGACUUGGCGUCGGUGGGUUAAAAACCAUCGGUGUCGAAGCUAACGCGAUAAGUCUACCGCCUGGGGACUACGGCCGCAAGGUUA
RNAcentral lists this ribosomal RNA (857 nucleotides) under uncultured bacterium. RNAcentral describes it as "bacterial SSU rRNA". It matches the Rfam family "Bacterial small subunit ribosomal RNA", at positions 22 to 896 of the family's 1533-position model. The record is from RNAcentral.